This 712-nucleotide ribosomal RNA is filed under the name uncultured Bacteroidota bacterium. RNAcentral's name for it is "bacterial SSU rRNA". It matches the Rfam family "Bacterial small subunit ribosomal RNA", at positions 68 to 772 of the family's 1533-position model. The record is from RNAcentral. Lineage: Bacteria; Pseudomonadati; Bacteroidota.
AGCAGGUCUUGUAGCAAUACAGGAUGCUGGCGACCGGCAAACGGGUGCGGAACACGUACACAACCUUCCUUUAAGUGGGGGAUAGCCCAGGGAAACUUGGAUUAAUACCCCGUAAUAUAUAGAUGUGGCAUCACAUUUAUAUUAAAGCUCAGGCGCUUAGAGAUGGGUGUGCGGCUGAUUAGGUAGUUGGCAGGGUAACGGCCUACCAAGCCUACGAUCAGUAACUGGUGUGAGAGCACGACCAGUCACACGGGCACUGAGACACGGGCCCGACUCCUACGGGAGGCAGCAGUAAGGAAUAUUGGGCAAUGGACGCAAGUCUGACCCAGCCAUGCCGCGUGGAGGAUGAAGGUCCUCUGGAUUGUAAACUUCUUUUAUCUGGGAAGAAAUCUAUGGUUUCUACUAUAGUUGACGGUACCAGAUGAAUAAGCACCGGCUAACUCCGUGCCAGCAGCCGCGGUAAUACGGAGGGUGCAAGCGUUAUCCGGAUUCACUGGGUUUAAAGGGUGCGUAGGUGGGCAGGUAAGUCAGUGGUGAAAUCUCCGAGCUUAACUCGGGAACUGCCAUUGAUACUAUCAGUCUUGAAUACUGUGGAGGUUAGCGGAAUAUGUCAUGUAGCGGUGAAAUGCUUAGAUAUGACAUAGAACACCAAUUGCGAAGGCAGCUGGCUACACAAUUAUUGACACUGAGGCUCGAAAGCGUGGGGAUCAAA